Molecule: unclassified non-coding RNA, 225 nt
Filed under: plant metagenome
Description: partial contains small subunit ribosomal RNA, internal transcribed spacer 1, and 5.8S ribosomal RNA
Source: RNAcentral
GCUCCGUUGGUGAACCAGCGGAGGGAUCAUUACAGGACUCGCAAGACACCUACAACCCUGUGAACUUAACUAUAAGCACGUUGCUUCGGCGGGUGUCUCGGAGGGGGUUCUCCCUCCCCGAGACGCUAAACCCGCCGGCAGCCUACUAUACUCUGUCUCUUUGCGUUGGCAUCUCGAGUACAAUCAAACAAGUUAAAACUUUCAACAACGGAUCUCUUGGUUCUG